AAAGCCAAAAAUGAUAUAAAACUAACUCACCCCCACCUACCACCCUUCAUACUGGACUGAUCAAAGAGGAGAAAGGGAAAAGAGAUAGAAAGAGAGAGAGAGUUGGCUGGAGCAAGAGAGAGAAAAGAAAGGAGAAAGGAAGAAAGGAAGAAGAAGAGGAAAGGAGAAGGAAAAAGAAAGCAAAAAACUAGAAUUUAAAGCUAAAAGUUAAAUCUCUUAUUAUGUUGUAAACCUAUUUAUAUGUUUAUAGAUGUAUAUAAUUGGUUCAUGUUGCGUUAACUAUGGCCUUUGGUCAUGGUGUAAAGGAUUAUGGAAAUUGCUUUUAUACACAUUUAACACCUAAAACUUAAUGAAAUCAAUGAGGGUUUGUAUCAGAAGUUUGAUUGAUUAAAAACAAGGCAAAGAUAAGGUUAAAGAAAUGUAGAACGAUCGAGGUAAAGCUUUGUCGAAAAAUAUUUGUGGAACGAUAUUUAGACGUGAAACGAUAACGAAUUUCGAAACAAGACACAUGGUUGGACUUCUAGGCUAUAAUAGAGCAGAUUUGGGCAAGAAAAUCCAAGAAAAAUCUCCGAAAAACCUGUUAUUGAAGAUGACUAGAAAUAUUUUCCAGCCAACUUUUCAGUAAGCCUGUUUUUCUAUAUUAGAGGAAAAAAUUCAAGAAACUUUUUAUUACAAUUUUGCAGGGAAUUAAAAUUCAUGUGGAAUGGACAUAAAAUUCAUAAUUUUUAGAUAAGCGAUUUAAUUAUUAUGAAUUUUUGAAGUUUAAACACUUAAAAGAAUUAUAUUUAAAUUAUCGAAAAAUGGUUU
RNAcentral lists this long non-coding RNA (807 nucleotides) under Panax ginseng (ginseng). RNAcentral describes it as "long non-coding RNA (PGIN_LNC016600)". The record is from RNAcentral. Lineage: Eukaryota; Viridiplantae; Streptophyta; Magnoliopsida; Apiales; Araliaceae.